This is a long non-coding RNA of Manis pentadactyla (Chinese pangolin), 3923 nucleotides long. RefSeq lists it as uncharacterized. The transcript is spliced from 3 exons. NCBI's taxonomy places the organism in Eukaryota, Metazoa, Chordata, Mammalia, Pholidota, Manidae. The record is from RefSeq and is a predicted model, not a curated record.
CCUGUGCUUCUCAGGAAGCUCUUCUGAGUGCUGGUGACACUCACGCUGCAACCUCUGCCUGGGCCGCGCUGCUCCUCUCCUUCCGUCUUAGCUACUCAGGCAUCUUCCUCCAGGAAGCCUGCCCGGAUUCCCUUCUCUGGGCUGACAUCUAUGGUCUACUUUACUUUUUGGUCUCCGUAAGACACUCAGAAUUCUUUGAUGACGGAGAUUGCCCUCAUUGUGUUUUAUAUUCCAGCAUUUAGUGAAGGCGCUCAAUAAAAUUUUACUAAAUGAGUGGAAGUAUAUUGCAAAAUUAAGGCUUUUUUCGAAAUAAAAAGGAAAAUAUGUCUAAAAGGUAGAUCUUGCACAAUUUUAUUCUGGCCCUCAUUAUUCAUAAAGGUAUUUUAAAAACACGUACUGAAGGGUUUACUGGACAAUUGCCAACUGUCCUUCAUUAAAAAUAUUUUAUCCCUCCGAACCACAUAAAUAUGCUGUUGCCUCAAGUGAUUAUUUUUCAACGAAUGUAUCCAUUCAGAACAGCAUAACUGAGUGAUUCUACAUAGAGAAUAAAACCACCACAAAAUCACGAUAAAAAUGUAAAAGCACAAUGAUGAUUGCACUUUGAAUAACUAGAUGUCGCCUAGCUCUGCCACUGACUCCAAUGCGGACAAGCCAGUGGCGCUCUGGCCUCAGGGCCCCCACCCAAGGGUGGGGGGUAACCACCCUUGACACUUCUGCUGCGUUCGGAUCCGGCGAGAUACCUGCAAGAGCGGGGAUCUUCACGACAAAGGCAGCAUUAUCCAAAGUGCUGUCCAACCCCAAGGGUUCCUGUCACUCAUUACGGUGAUAACCCUCCCUGCCCUCCUGCUGUCCUGAGCAGGCGGGCAGUGCGGACUCUUGCUUAGAGCCUCUGCCAGUCAAAGGCCCCAUGGUGGGCGCAGUGCCUCUCCGGGGGUCCAGUCUGAGCUAGAAGUCGCGAGGAGUCGCCUGCAGGGGCCACGACGGCGCCGCUCUGCCCCCCGCGCUCUCCUGCAGGUAAGGGACUGUCUACCCACAACAGAGGCCAGACAGAGCAGCUCAGGAGGAGGGCGGGUAUCUGGGGCAGAGUGUGUGCCCUUGGCAAGGUCAUGUGGCUUCUACCUGUAAGAGUUUGAGAUUUUAAGACUAUACGCCUUGAACCCGCCACUGAGAGCCCCACCCAGGAGGACGCCCGUCACCACCAGGAUAUCUUUCCCCAUUUUAUCUGCCACAUCCUUUGCUCCACAAAAAGAAAAUUCCUGGUUUGUUCUCCCCUCUGCUGAAUUUCAGGUCAGCUAUUCUUUUGGGUGACUGUUUCCAAGUCAGGUGUCCAUUAUUUGUUUUUGUGACUUUUAAUAUUUAUUCAGGUAAUUCGUGGGUUAAAGUCCACUUCUCCCACAAGAUUGUUUCACAAGGAUAGAGACUGUUUUCCAUUAGCCCCCAUGUAUCCUCAGAACCUAGCGAGUGCUUGGCACAUAAUAGAUGUGCAAUAAAUAUUUCUGGAAUGAGUGAAUGCAUAAAGGGUUUAAAUUGGGAGGUCAGUUGCAUCUCCUCUAUCUCUCUCUCAAGCGGUAGGAAGGGCCCUCAGGGGUUAAUAGAUCCUUGUUAAGCGGAGAUAUUCUGCACCAUAGCUAGAAGUAUGCUUGGACUAGUUUUUUUUGCACUGUCCUUUGACAUUUAAAGAGCAGAAGGGUAAUACUGGAUUUGAUCUCAAAAUCAGUGUACAAGGAAUUUAGUAACUACGAAGAUAAUUAUUUCAGUGACAAUGGAAGAAUUAAUUUUUCAUAAUUUUGAUAUAGCCCUAUAGAACUAUGAUUAACUAUAUACUUAUUAAACAUUGUGCUAAGUACUUUACAUGCACUUUAAAAAUUUUAUUUUAUUUUUUCAAGUCAGAUUUAUUGAGGCAUACUUGACAUUCAGUGAAAUUCAUACUUUUCUAUGUACAGUUCUAUGAAUUUUGACAAAUGCACAUAAUCAUGUAAUUACCAUCACAAUCAUGAUAUGGAAUAUGUCCAUCACCCCCCAAAAUCCUCUUGUGUCCCUUUUACACACAUUAUUUAAGCCUCCUCACUACUUUAUAGGUAUUCACAUUUACUAUUCUCAUUUUCUUUGGAGAAGAGAAGUUGAGGCUAAGAACAGUGGAGUAACUUACUCAGGUUACACAGUAAGUGGUAGCACUUGGAUUCCAGCCCAAUAUCUGGUUGAUUCUAAAUCCUAUGAUUCAAGCACUCUACCAUGUUUAUUAUUUUGCUGUAUUCUGUUUCUUCAGCAUUAUAUUUCAAAUUUAAUUACACAGUGAAUAGCCAUAGAGCUGUGACAGUAAGAGGAAACUUAAAUGACACUUCUGAAAUUACUAAGAAUGGGGUAAAUGAGUUAUGAGAUAAAUUUUAUGUGAAGUUAGAGGUGGACACUUUUUGAACAAGAUGAACAGCAGGCACAUUUUCAGUUUAUGAAUGUGGUAGUAAACAUUUCAGUAGUGCUGAGUUUUAAUUUCACACUUGAGGACUCCAUUUGUCCCUUGAAUCUAGAAAUGUCCUAGGAUAAAAUGUGGGAGCUGAUGGCUGCCUGACAUGUCAGGCCUGUCCUCAAGUAGCUUGCCAUCCAGUUCCACGGAUCAAACAUCUGCAUUAUGGCUUGAGGCGGAGUUCGGACAUGAUGGUAGCCAUCACUAGACCCUGGCUCUGCUCUGGUCCAUCUGAAUUCCAAAAACCUCUCUACCAACGGUGGUGGAAAUGAACAGCAGCAGAAGUCAGAGGGUCAGCCUUACAAAGCCAUCUUUACCACAUCCUUGCAUGAAGCUGGCUUAAAACUGCAGGAAACAAGUCAUUAAUUUGCUGAUGGCUCAAACCUGUCUGUUGCAGAAAUCUCUAAGUUAACAACUCCUAAAACAUGUAUUUUAUCAAGAAAGCUUUUAACACCAGGAGUGGACAAACAUUUCCAUUGCAUAGUCUAAAACAAAAUAUGUUGCUUUGAGCUAAUUAUAGGUCCACGACAAACACAUACCUUCAUGCCUAGAUGUUUGCUUACAGUCACAAAAAUUAGUUGUCCUCCUUUCUACAUUCAGUCAAACCUCUAUGAUGAUACCUGGUGAUGCCAUUACUACAAACAUAACUGCCACUAAGCAACAUUGAGUCCUAGGAGAUACUUAAAAAUUUCCCCUUUAUUGGUAUAUUAUUAAUAUUAAUGCUUGAGCAACCUUAAGAAUGCCUAGAGAGAGUGGCUCAUGGGUUAAUUAUAGACAGUUCUCACUGCAUAAGUUAAAGCCUGAUUAGGAUAGUUUAAGAUUUCUCAAUAUGGAGAUGUCAUGUAUUAGAAUAAUCCUAGGUCAUGUUUAUUUCAGUAACUUUAAAGGUUGCACAUUUAGUCUUCAAGGAUAAUUUUUUUUAACACAACCAAGAGUUACAUAAAGCCAAAUAUGGUGAAUAAAAUAGAUAAUGCAAACAGGGCUUUUUUUUUCAGGAGGAGAGGUCUAAAAGUUAGCUGUGUUUAUAAAGUUAUGUGAAUUAUUUUUCUUGUGUGUUUGUUCAACUGAGUUUUAAGGCAGUUGCAAAAGCGUUUUGUUGAUGUAUUGAGAAAUUACAUUAUUAUCCAACAAGUAUGUAGCCUUCUGGAUUUCAGCUUUGAAGAUGGAUAACAUAUUUUAUAUUCCAUUAUGUUUGUGUAAAAAAAUUACCCAACUUUAUAGUUAUACCUUUAAGCUAAUGGCCUUCAUCUAUGUAAUUCAUUUUAGUUAUAAAGAGAAUUUAUUGGUGAUUGGGAGUUACCAGUAGAAUUUUUGAUAAAUACAUCCUUCAGUCAAUUAACAAGCAUGGCUCAAGACACUAGUGCUAUGUGAGAUGCAAAACAUCCUUUAGGAAUUUAACAUCUAGUUUAACACAUAGACUAAUAAAUAUCAAAUGAUUAGAGGACAAAAUAAAGAUGUUGCU